GGCUCAUAGCAGAGGAGCCUGAUGUGGGGCUCGAUCCCAUAAUGCCGGGAUCACGCCCUGAGCCGAAGGCAGAUGCUUAACGACUGUGCCACCCAGGCGCCCCUGUAUUUUGCUUCUAACGCCAUGUUUGUGCCAAACACCGUGUUGGUCACUUGAUAUAUAUAAUUUUAUGCAAACCUCUUAGCAGCUUGGCUAGGUGGGAAUUAUCCCUGUGUUAGUAGUGGGAUGACCGAGGCUGAGGGAGGUUAAAUACUCUGCCGAGCCCCUACAGCACAGCCGGGGUCUGAGCUGGAAUUGCUUCUAGUACUUAGGCUAGUUCUCCCUCCAUGCCACCUGGGAAGGGCAGGAGAGGAACUGGCCAGAUUCUAAAGGUGCACAGCCGGCUUACAGUCUAUACAUGUCGUCCCACUGCUUCCCCACAAUAGCCAGGUAGGCGGGAAGUCAUCCUGAUCCUACAAGCGCAGCUCAGAGAUGGGCAGAGACUAGACAAGAACCCGGGACUCCUGGACCCAGAGUUCAGCCUGCACCAGCUCCCUCACCCAGCUGGGAGCUCACAGUGAGAAAAACCAGGCAGGCGCGUGGGGGUCACCCCCAUGACAGAAAGGGGGCCCUGAAGCCACUUGUUGCCAUCUUGGCACACCCCGGGACUGGGGAGAGGGCUGUGCUCCCGCCUCACAGUGAAGGGUGGAGUUGCUGGUGUGGAGGGUGGCAGGGCAGGUGGCGGGAGGGGACAGGUCAAGGGUAGGCGGGGGUCGGACACCAGGUCAGUGCCUCCAGUGGCCCGUCCAGGCCCUGUGUGGAGUUUUCCAAUGGAGGCCGUUGGAGGGAGGGCCUGUCAUUCCCACCACGCUUCUUGUUAAAGUCGCAGAUGACUGCUGAAUCGUGAGGGUCCUGGAUGUAGGGCAAGCGUGGGGAGAGGGGAUUAGCUUUCUCCUGAGCUGACUAUGUGCCUAGCCCUGCUGUCCCUGAUCUCAUUAACUCCGCAGAGAUUCCCUAAGGGUAGCUACUACUGUCCCACACUACAGACAAGAAAACUGGCUCAGAGAGGUGAAGUGGCCGACCCAAGGCCACCCAGGAGGUCACCAACAGGGCCUGGCCUCUAUGGAAACCCAAGUCUCCUGGCUGCGGAGGAGAGAAAUCACAGACAGGCAUGAGGGCUGCACUCCACAGUCACCAAUGGGACUCCACGUGAUCUUACCCCCAGUCCCUGCAGCACGGAGCUCAUUAACCUGAAACCUAUGGAAGAGGAAACAAGACCCCAACCGAGACGUCCUUGAGAGCAGGCCCUGGUCUGCCUGUGUCCUGCCGCCCCUAGACCUAGCACAAAGCCUGGUACAGAGAAGGUGCCUAGGAGAUGCUCACUCAAGGGAAGUGGUCCAGUGGCUGCUCUGGUACUUGGUGGCCAAGGCAUUGGAGCUUGACAGACCUGACCUGUGGUCCUGCAGCCUGGGUUUUCCCUGGCACGGUGGCCUCGCGAUUCUGAGAGGAGGAAGGCAGGAGCUAAGGCCCUGGGGCCGGCAUCACGUCAACUCCAUCACAUUCUGUCAGUCAAAGCAAGUUGUGAGGCACUCCCAGAUCCCAAGGGUGAGGAACAGACUCCCCCGCUCCAUGGCAGGAACAGCAAAAGAACAUGGGCGUGUUUUCCAUCUACCCGCCAGGGGCAGGCAGUUCUCCUCAUGCCCCACUCCCCUUGUCUCCAGUCCCACCACUGGAGUUCGGUGCUCACCUGCCUCCGGGGGCUAGUUCCGGAGUCAAGUCUAGGAGGAGGAAGCAUGCACAUCCAAAUCAUGGCUAAUUUCCAUCAGCACAAAAUCUGGAAAACAUAGGUGGGAACAUUUUCUGCAGGUGCUAGUCCAUGGAGGGAGAAACAUCAUUUCACUGGCCUGAAUUUAUUUAUAAUACAGGACACAUUCACCUGAGAUCCUAGAUUCAGUGUGCCAGUCUGGGGUGGUUUUCAUCGUUGGUUUAGCUGGUUGACUGAGCCCUGGAUUCAAUCGGGAACUGUGCUUCAUUGAUAUUGAAGUGCCAGGAAUUUCUUGCUUUAAAAUAGAGGAGGGAACCCAAAGACUAAGGGAGGGAGGAAGGUUGAGGUGGGUUUACCGCUGUGUGAGGCACUCACAAGCCCCCUGGCCAAAUUCCACAUUCCUAACUUCCUCUUAUGGAGCCUGCAGGAAACUCCCUUCAGCAAGACGCUGGGAGCUGUGUUAGUGAGGGGAGUGUCUUUGCAACACGACGACGACGGCGAUGACUUGCUACCGUUCUCUGCAGGCUGGGGAUGCUGCCGGAACACGCUGCCACAGAAACGCGCUCCAGAAUCUCAGUGGAAAUGCUGGGGCCCCAGGGGAGCAGAGCAGACACAGCAGCACUCGGCCUUCUGGAACAUCAGACGUCAGGCGGUGACCAGAAGGGUCUAACUCACGGGUAUCUUCAGCAGAGGUUAACUGUUCAAAGGCCAAAUAGGACCAAAGGGACCAAACAGGCAGGCUCUCAGUCCUCCUUCAUCUGUAUAACAGAAGCAGCAAAACAGGAACCAAACAGACCCUUUGAGGUUGGGCUAUGGAAGCCUGAUGUGAGCCCCUAUGAGAGAGAGCCUCAGUUCUCCCCGCCAAAGCGCCUUGAAUGAAAGAGGGGCCAGUGCACUUGAGAGCGAACCCUUCAAUGGCACCCAGACACAUACUGUAAAUCUUUCCUGGGCUAUUUGCCAGAGAACUGUGCUCUGUGAAGGGAAAAUACACAGGCUUUUCAGGGCUUAGCAGACCUUGAGUCUAUGUAAUGCUAAUUUCUGAGGAUACAGAGAACCACUGUGUAGGGGCUCAAGCAGAUCCGGUGGUCGUUGGAGUUUGGACCCGAGUCCACCCAUGCUGCAUUCAGCGAGACUCCGGACUCGUCCUGGAAUUAUUGCCUUAGUUUCAGGGUAGACAAUUGAAAUGUAUGGGCAGAAUUCACACAGGACUCUCCAGGCCUAUGGAAUAAAGGCCGUUCUUGUAGAAAGAGAUAAGUGGAAACCCCUGGAACGUCCCCUUCUUACUAAUCAAUAGACUGAAACAAUGGUUCCGACUCAGGGACAAUCACAGACAUUUGUGCCGUCAUCAAAGACUUGAAAGUAGCAGGGGUGGUGUCUGUCACGUGUCCCUUAACUCGCUGGCGGGGCCAGUGCAGAAGGCAUGGGGCUCAGAGAGUGACAGCUCUCAGAGGCUCACUCCAUCCUGAAACUCUGGGAUCCUGACCUGAGCUGAAGGCAGACGCUUCACCGACUGAGCCACCCAGGCAUCCAAGAGAACGCCAGAAGCAGUUUUCUUUCUCUUGGCAGAGACAGCAGCACAGCUUUCUCAUCUUGUCUUGAAACUCGUCAAGUUGCUGGUUCUCUGCUAUGAUUAAUCUUUGGGGAUUUUGAUUAUCCUCCCAAAUGACAGGAGAGCGUAUUUUUCUGCCAAAUCGGUUACAGUGUGUUCCUAGAAUUUGGAGAGUGGAAAGCAGCAAGGACUUUAGAUGCCUCGAUAAGAAUCAGGCUCCUGUGUCUUCCACUCCAGAGAUUCUGCCAGCGUCAAGUUCGCCAGUGAUCUCUUUACUGCUAGUGCAAUGGGUACUUCAAAAAAAUUAUUUUGGAAAUAGAGAAAUUUCGAUCAUACGUGAAAGUUGAGAAAAUGGUAUAAUGACCUUCAUCACAAAACUUCAACAUGUAUUGACAUCUUCCCCAUUUUGUUCAGUGGACACUUCUUAAUCCAUAUGGGAGGGAAGCACUCGUGGUCUCUGAUCCUGUGGGCCCCUUGCUCCCUGAUGCUUUGCCUGAGGCAACAUUCUUUCCUAGAUCUCCUCUGACCUCUCUGCUGCUCGAUGGCAGGCUCCCCUCAGGGGCUCCUUCCUCUCCUGUCCCUUAAAUGCUUGCGUUUCCCAAGGCUCUGUCUUAUACCCUCCACCUCUCACUUUCCACACCCUGCCUGGGUAAACACACCCUCUCUCGUGACCUCACAUACCUUCCCAGGGCUGGUGAGACCCAAAUUUCAAUGAGAUCCCCAUCUCUGCCUUCAUUCCGGACCCUGUCCAAGGCUGAGACCACUAUAUCCAGAAGUCUCCUAGACACCCCUGACCAGCUGUCCCAUAGGUGUCUCCCCUCAACAUGUACUGAACUGAGUCCGUCCUCCUGCCCCAACCGGUUGUUUCCUGGAUUCCUGUAUAUCCACUCAAUGCACACUGGGUGUGUAAGAAAAAAUGGAAGCUUUGGAAUAAGCAAAGAAACCACUACUAUAAUAAAAAAAAUGGACAAUAACAAGUGUUGACAAGAAUGUGGAGAAAUGGGAACCCUCGUACAUUGCUGGUGGGAGUGUGAGAUGCCUCCCAGGAAUCAGGUCUAAGCCCACUGAGGAUGUUAGAGUGGCCUGCUGGAGGAGGAGAGGGGAUUACAGUGGACG
Long non-coding RNA from Ailuropoda melanoleuca (giant panda), 4409 nucleotides. RefSeq lists it as uncharacterized. Lineage: Eukaryota; Metazoa; Chordata; Mammalia; Carnivora; Ursidae. The transcript is spliced from 3 exons. The record is from RefSeq and is a predicted model, not a curated record.